This 513-nucleotide ribosomal RNA is filed under the name uncultured bacterium. RNAcentral's name for it is "bacterial SSU rRNA". It matches the Rfam family "Bacterial small subunit ribosomal RNA", at positions 24 to 518 of the family's 1533-position model. The record is from RNAcentral.
UCAGAUUGAACGCUGGCGGCGUGCUUAACACAUGCAAGUCGAACGCGAAAGGGACUUCGGUCCUGAGUAAAGUGGCGCACGGGUGAGUAACGCGUGGAUAAUCUGCCCUUAUGAUCGGGAUAACAGUUGGAAACGGCUGCUAAUACCGGAUACGCUCAAAAUGAACUUUUUUGAGGAAAAGAUGGCCUCUGCUUGCAUGCUAUCACGUAAGGAUGAGUCCGCGUCCCAUUAGCUUGUUGGCGGGGUAACGGCCCACCAAGGCAACGAUGGGUAGCCGAUUUGAGAGGAUGAUCGGCCACACUGGAACUGAAACACGGUCCAGACUCCUACGGGAGGCAGCAGUGGGGAAUAUUGCGCAAUGGGCGAAAGCCUGACGCAGCGACGCCGCGUGAGGGAUGAAGGUUUUCGGAUCGUAAACCUCUGUCAGAAGGGAAGAAACUACGUUGUGCUAAUCAGCAGCGUACUGACGGUACCUUCAAAGGAAGCACCGGCUAACUCCGUGCCAGCCGCAGC